RNAcentral lists this unclassified non-coding RNA (243 nucleotides) under plant metagenome. RNAcentral describes it as "partial contains small subunit ribosomal RNA, internal transcribed spacer 1, and 5.8S ribosomal RNA". The record is from RNAcentral.
UCUCCGUUGGUGAACCAGCGGAGGGAUCAUUACCGAGUUAUCAACUCCCAAACCCCUGUGAACAUACCCAACGUUGCUUCGGCGGGACCGCCCCGGCGCCCUCGGCGUCCCGGAACCAGGCGCCCGCCGGAGGACCCAAACUCUUGUUUAAACCAUAGUGGCAUAUUCUGAGUCUCACAAGAAAAAUGAAUCAAAACUUUCAACAACGGAGCGCGGGGCUCUGGCAUCGAGGAAGAACGCAGC